Molecule: long non-coding RNA, 1548 nt
Organism: Vespa mandarinia (Asian giant hornet)
Lineage: Eukaryota; Metazoa; Arthropoda; Insecta; Hymenoptera; Vespidae
Source: RefSeq, a predicted model, not a curated record
UGCAUAUAACUUUGUUGUAACGUUGAAAAAUGAAUGGACAGUUUGCGAAUUACGCGCGUUCGAGAUCGACCCUCUAGCAAGACUUUGCCAUGUAAUAUCCAGAGAAAGAAGGGAAAGAUAGAUAGAGUAGAAAGAUUCUGAAGAUGGUGUAGAGACGAGGUGGCUUGGAUGUUAGAAAGAGAUAGAUAGAUAGAUAGAUAGAUAGAUAGAUAGAUAGACGAAAAGAGAGAAAGAGAGAGAGAGAGAGAGAGAGAGAAGCAGCCGUUAAAGGUGUGAUACGGAACGUCGAGAGAGCACGAGGUGAUAUUUCUCGCAAAGCUGAACCGAAUAAAUUUUUAACAAAAACUGCUGACUCACUACAUUACGCUUCUUUCUCUCCUUCUUUUCUUUACGACCGGCCGCCCGUCGCCUAUCUUUUCCCCGUCCCCGCGCUAUCGUUUCUUCUCUCUUUCUGCCUUUUACUCGAUCUUUUCAGGGCGUAGCUACACACAUAUACACACAUACAUACAUAUAUAUAUAUAUGCAUUUCCAUACAAAGAUACAUACCUACCCUACGUACGUUCGUAACUAUACUCUCGAAUCUCGUCGCUUCUAUCGACAUGCCUCCGAGAUAUUGUUACUACUUUCGAUGGGUACACGUCUAUGUUGUAUCUGCAACAUACGCGUAUACGUGCAUUAUGGAUGUUACGGUGAACGUAAAAAGAAGGAAAGGAGUAUAGUCACGGCAUACCACGAUGGAAUAUACUCAUCGUUUUUCACAAACCGGAUUCCAAAAGUCUACCACCGAAAAUGGCCGGUUCACGUACAUAUACAUAGAUAUACGUAUGUAUUUAUAUAGAUAUUAUACAUAGAUACUUACACAUACACAGAUACACAAUUAUAUAUACAUACAUUUAGCUUCAUUCGCCAGUAAUAUUAUGAAUAAGAUUCCAAAAUGAUGAAACGUAGCGAGAUUCAACGUGUACUCCCUGUUCUGUUACCGGGGGGAGUAAUAUUAUGCAACAUUUCCUGUUCACGUUUAAAGUGUAAUUAACAUAUUCGCCAUUGAAAGCAAACGAGGGCAAAUCCCGAAUGAAGCUAACGGAACGGGAACGGCGGGCCUGGCCGUAUUGGAAGGAAAAACGUUUUACGGAUUGUACCGGGGAAUCUCUCGAAUCGAGAAACAGACGUAACGCCACUGCCGCCGCGCGCGCGAACGAAGAGGAAGAAGGCCAGAUAGCGCGAGAAGGACGGCUAAAAACCCCCUCGAGGUUUCGACUCAGCAUCCCACGAUAUCUACAUCUAUUUUUGGCCACGGUCAGCUGUAGUUGCACGGCAUUAGCAUAAUGAAGACGCGGUUCGUCUCCUCUCCUCUCUUCUUUCAUCCUUCUCUCUAUACUCCGUGUACUAUCUACCUUCUCUCUCUUUCUAUCUAUCUCUCUCUCUCUCUCUCUCUCUCUCUCUCUCUCUUUCUCUCUUUCUCUUUCCAUCUAUCUAUCCAUCUCUAUUGCGUGUGCAGCCUCGUUGUCGUCUCUCCAUCCCUUUCUAUUCCCCCCUCUUCUCCUCCUC